Molecule: small nuclear RNA, 77 nt
Filed under: Panthera leo (lion)
Lineage: Eukaryota; Metazoa; Chordata; Mammalia; Carnivora; Felidae
Source: RNAcentral
AAUGAACAAUACAGAGAAGAUUAGCCCAGUCCCUGCUCGAGAAUGACAUACCAAUUUGUGAAGUGUUUUAGAUUUUC